GACAACACACUGUGUUAAAUCGCCAAAGUUUAUAACAAGAUGAAUCAAGGUGGAGGCUGGGAAAAGAGAGAGAUAAAAAGCAAGCAUGUGCUUUUUGCGAUUCUCCAAAUAACUGAAGAAAUGUGUGAACAAGGGAAUAUUUUGUCAUUUUUUUUCACAGCAAACGUAAAGGAGAUUGUGAUCUUCCACAGGUGACUGCUGAAAGAAAGUUCACAGUGCAGGCUCCAGCAGAGCCACGGAAGGAGAGAGACAGGGCAACGGGAAGGGAAGGUGCUCCACGUGCAGACCUGUUGAAAUGUAUGUGUGCAAACUCCCCCUAAUUUAUGUAAAUACGGAGGCGGAAGAGUUUCACUUCAUUGUUACAAAUUAAAAGUUCCCUGACAUUUCCAAUUAGCUGGAGAGAAAAGCAACGCAACUAUAAAUACAUCACAAAGCCAGCAAGUCUGCUCUGGCAUAAACAGCACGCUCCCAUCGCGACACCAAACGGUGAGGCUCCAAGGCGUGCUUGUUGCAGCAGAGAUUAAUGGCACGGUGGCCGGUUGCCCUGGGAAGCCACAGCCUGAGGAGGAGAAAUUUAAAUGCUGUGUCCAGUCCUGAUCUUGAACAGCCAUAUUUAGCAAUAUUUGAUAAAAGUUGCUGUGGAGAGACUGAAAACCACUGUGCUCCCACACACAGCUGAGCGGCUGCACUUCUGCCAAGGCCGAACAUAAAAUUAGGAAAGGAGAGAUCAGCUGAUAAGCAGUUGCUGUUCAUUAUGGGAAAUUACAGCUUUCAUGUCAUGAUAAACGCCUGUCAGCUCCAAACCAGAGACCUGUUGCAUCCAAAUACCUUGCCUAAGUGGGUGGAUAGUCUUAAAUGCACUCCAAACCAUUCCUCUUUCUAGCAGCAAUUGCUGCUGCUGUUCUCGGUGUCUGGGGACAGACAGUGGCACAGGGAGGGCGGGCAGGACACGCUCUCCUCUGCUCUGCUUCCCCUGCGACCGCCAGUGCCUGCUAUGGCAGCACCAAGAGGUGACUUUCUCUAAACCACCACAGCACAUUCACCAGUGAACAGCAACCACCCCGAGGUUCGUCCUCAUCCAGGGGAGCAAAAUUUUCGUUGCAGAGAUGGAAGAUGGCCACUGAAUUGAAUACAGUGGGCAAGUUCUGGAAGGUGCACUGCCUUUCCAAGGCUGAACGUGCAUGCUGCUCCUAAUAGCUCUGCCAGAAGCAUUUCUGUCACUAGGCUUUGGUUUGUGUUACAAAGGGUGUCCCCUUUUACAGGCAUGGCAAAUGGAGGCAAGAGGCACAUGAAGCAGCCUGAGAACACUAGAUUAGGGAAAAAUGAGUGAUGUAACCCAAGCCCCGGAGUCCCAUUCUGUGUCCAAGUACUAAAAGGGCUUUGCCAUCCUUGCCUCUUUCAUUUAUUACCAGUGUAUUGUGUUCCUGCAAGAGAGUCCUAUUUCAGAAGAAUCAUCCAUCUGAAGACAAUCACCUCUGUUGGGGUCUCCCAGGCCAUUGUCCAUCCUAAUGCAGAAGUUAUACUCUGGCAGGCCAAGACGAUGCUUUCCAUUGAAAGGGCUCAAACCAAUGAAUUUCUGAUUAAGACUAAACUGUGAUGCAUGAAAGUUUUGCUUGUGUUUGUUUCCCAAGGACUCCUCAGUUGUUUUCCCUGGCCCUCUUUGUCUAGACAAAAGUAAAACGCUCCCUGUAUAACUCACUGAUGGCAGACUCAGAGCCUUCGGUGGGCAUUUGGGCAAACUAAGGUGAGGGAAACUCCAACAGGUCACAGAGGUACCAUCUAGGGAGGAUGAUCUCACCGAUUUAGGAAGAAGACACCUGGACUUCACAGCACAUGCUCUGGAAAGAGCAGACACCAUGAAGAAGACCAUGUACUUUAUCCCUCGACC
Athene cunicularia (burrowing owl) is the source of this 1888-nucleotide long non-coding RNA. RefSeq lists it as uncharacterized. The transcript is spliced from 5 exons. The record is from RefSeq and is a predicted model, not a curated record. Lineage: Eukaryota; Metazoa; Chordata; Aves; Strigiformes; Strigidae.